Long non-coding RNA from Corvus hawaiiensis (hawaiian crow), 2052 nucleotides. RefSeq lists it as uncharacterized. Lineage: Eukaryota; Metazoa; Chordata; Aves; Passeriformes; Corvidae. The transcript has 5 exons. The record is from RefSeq and is a predicted model, not a curated record.
GGAAGAGCCGCUGUUUGCGGCCGCCGGUGCUCCGCGGGCCAGCGGCGCCCGGACGGGAGCGCGAGAGGCUCAAGCUUACCGCGUUAGAAAUACCUUGAGAGAACAAUGUCUGAACGGGAUCGUCUCCUCCUCCAGGGCUGAUGCUGCCACAUACACACCUGGAGUCCCCACCUCAAGCAUCCAGGGCACAGGCAGAAUUCUACAUUAGAAACAGCAUUUAUCCAACCUUAAAGACGAACUCUGACUGCUCUCACUCACCAACAGAUAAAGAGCCUGUCAAGCCUCCUGCUAAUACCACUCCAGAUGCUGAUGGCUCUAUCUUUCCCAGGCGAAGGGGGCUGGAAUCUCCAAGCACAACCAUUUUUCCAGCCAUGCCUUUGGACAUUGCCAGUUUUUCAGCUUGACAAGGAACAGACAAACCAGAAAACUGCAGAUGAAGCUGCAACAGAUGCAUUUGCCACUUAAAGACAAUUAAUAUGAUCAGCUACCCAGGCACUUGGGGUAAGGUGUGUCACAAUCCUCUCUGGCAAACACAGGGCCGCUGCCCAAGUCCAUAAUGAGCAGUUUCUGUGUCAGUGACUGCAGGCUGCCAAGGGACUGUGUUUCUUUGAUUUCCUAGAACAGCAGAAUCCCUAGGAAUGACCUUUGCAAGUUCACUGUCAUCACAUGCUCCUCUGGGGCUGGUUUCUGUUUGGCACGAGACUGAGACAGAAAAGUCCAUCUCAAUGGCUCAAGAGGAACAGAAAAAAACCCUAAUGUGUCUUUCCCCAAAGUUGGCUGCAUUUCUGUCAUGUCCAAGGAAUUAUUAUUUAUUUCAAAUAGCUGUGAGUAAUUUGGAAAGAACCUCUUACAAAGAGGCUCAAGUCUAUUGCUUUUGCUCCCCGCCGGCACAAUAGUUUCCAGGGAUAUCUUUGGGAGUUUCAGACAUGUACAGGAAACAGCCUGUCAGAGGCAGAAUCUCUGCUGUGGAUUUGGGGCAAUUAUGCUUUCCAAAUCUUAGGCAAUAAGGGACCAAAAGAGAACAAAUCCAGAGAGUGGAGAGGAAAAACCACUCUUGCUACAAAUUAAUUUAUUUCACCAAGGAGAAUUGAGGUUCUUGUACAAACAAAGACUGUCCAUUGUAAGCACAGUAACACAUUAAGUUCAGUUGGAAAAGAGCAGAGGCCAAACAAUAUCUUGUGAAUGGAUAUAAUUGAGGAUGGAUUUAACUCUCAUAAACAGAACCACUGGGAAUGUAAAGUGAAGGAUAAUGCUGCACAUAUUUGGUCAGCUUUGUCUAUGUAGUAAAGAUUUACAAAUUAUGAAGGUGCCCAUAAUAGCAUUUUAACCCCUUCACAAGGUCCUCUUAUUUCUGCUCAAGGAAUGUUCCACUUACAUUAGAACACACAGAUCCAAACAGGCAUUGCAGAAAAAGAACAAUAUUCAGCGUAUGUGCUGUAGGUGACACUGAACCCGCCUCCCCAUCCAACUUGAAACAUAUCAUGGAGUAUUUAGACAGCCUUAUUUUAGGGACCUAAAAUUAGUUCCUCUGAAUCACACUUUAGAAGAACCUAUUUUUGUCCCAUACUACACAGGAAACUUAAGUUCUUCAUUCAGAUGCUGUAAUUACUCUUGCCCUCAUCCCCCAAAUAGACAAAUUCCCUGUAAAAUAGAAGUUUAUGUGACAGGGAUGUUUCUGAGUUGCCUCUUGGCACCUUUCAGUGCCAGCUUUGGAUGACCGACCUGUUUAGAAACACGGGGCUGAGGGAAAGUCUGAGGAGCCUCAUAAAAAAGCAGGCUAUUCCUCUUUAUUUCUGUAGUGGGGCUUUGUGAGAUAUGGGGCUCAUAGACCUGGACAGGUAUGAUACAGGUAAUAUGAAGCUCCUGUUGGAUUGGCUAUCCUUUUCCAAACUGUACAAUCAUAGAAUCAUAGAAUGGUUUGGGUUGGAGGGGACGUUAAAGCUCAUUCUUGUAACCACUGCCAUGGGCAGGGGCACCUUCCACUAUCCCAAGUUGCUCCAAGCCCUGUCCAACCUGGCCUUGGACACUUCCAGAGGUGGAGCAGCCACAGCU